This is a non-coding RNA of Pogona vitticeps (central bearded dragon), 417 nucleotides long. NCBI's taxonomy places the organism in Eukaryota, Metazoa, Chordata, Lepidosauria, Squamata, Agamidae. The record is from RefSeq and is a predicted model, not a curated record.
CGCUGGAGGCUCACUUCCGGUUUCCGGCUCCGAGCGCGGGUGCUUCUUUUUUCCCCUUCCCGUCCAAGUCCCAGGUGCCUCCUUUUUUCGGGGGUCGGGAAGGAGAUAGAAGAAUAAAGCCUAUUCGUUCCAUAACUUUGGCUCUUUUGGAGGAGAUAAGCCUACAAUAUUCUCUUGGCAUUGAGCCCGGGAGACAAGACAGAUGCCAUGGAGGUGUGGAGCAAUGAGGAAUUCCCAUUGCUGAACUUGGUGAUCCUUGAACAGUUCCUGGUUGUCCUGCCGCCCGAGAUGGGGAUCUGGGUGAGAGAUAGUAGGCUGGAAUCCACUUCCCAGGCGGUGUCCCCGGUGCAAGGUUUCCUCCUGAGCCAAGCAGUGAAUGACAAACAGGAACAGCAGCUGGCAGUGGAUGCUCCAUCA